UAUUCAGCCUGAGAUGUGAUGCCGAGCCGAUUGUGGUGAAGUGGAUGAUCCUAUGCUGCCGAGAAAAGCCUCUAGUGAGUGUUGUGGCGGCCCGUACCCUAAACCGACUCAGGUGGUCAGGUAGAGAAUACCAAGGCGAUCGGGUGAACUGUGGUUAAGGAACUCGGCAAAUUGCCCCCGUAACUUCGGGAGAAGGGGGACCUCUGCUGGUGAUGGGCUUUACGUUCUGAGCUGGUGGGGGUCGCAGUGGCCAGGGGGAAGCGACUGUUUACUAAAAACACAGGUCCGUGCGAAGUCGUAAGACGAUGUAUACGGACUGACGCCUGCCCGGUGCCGGAACGUUAAGGGGACCGCUUAGCCAACGCGAGUUGGCGAAGGUGAGAACUUAAGCGCCGGUAAACGGCGGUGGUAACUAUAACCAUCCUAAGGUAGCGAAAUUCCUUGUCGGGUAAGUUCCGACCUGCACGAAUGGCGUAACGACUUCCCCGCUGUCUCAACCACAGACCCGGCGAAAUUGCACUACGAGUAAAGAUGCUCGUUUCGCGCAGCAGGACGGAAAGACCCCGGGACCUUCACUACAGCUUGACAUUGGCGUUUGGAACGUCUUGUGUAGGAUAGGUGGGAGUCUGGGAAGCUGUCACGCUAGUGAUGGUGGAGUCAUUGGUGAAAUACCACUCUGGUCGUUUUGAACGUCUAACUCUGGUCCGUGAUCCGGAUCGGGGACAGUGUCUGGUGGGUAGUUUAACUGGGGCGGUUGCCUCCUAAAGAGUAACGGAGGCGCCCAAAGGUUCCCUCAGCCUGGUUGGCAAUCAGGUGUUGAGUGUAAGUGCACAAGGGAGCUUGACUGUGAGACUGACAGGUCGAGCAGGAGCGAAAGCUGGGACUAGUGAUCCGGCAUCGGCGUGUGGAAGCGGUGUCGCUCAACGGCUAAAAGGUACCCCGGGGAUAACAGGCUGAUCUUCCCCAAGAGUCCAUAUCGACGGGAUGGUUUGGCACCUCGAUGUCGGCUCGUCGCAUCCUGGGGCUGGAGUAGUCCCAAGGGUUGGGCUGUUCGCCCAUUAAAGCGGUACGCGAGCUGGGUUUAGAACGUCGCGAGACAGUUCGGUCCCUAUCCGCUGCGCGCGCAGGAGACUUGAAGGGGGCUGUCCCUAGUACGAGAGGACCGGGACGGACGAACCUCUGGUGUGCCAGUUGUACCGCCAGGUGCACGGCUGGUUGGCUACGUUCGGAAGGGAUAACCGCUGAAAGCAUCUAAGCGGGAAGCUCGCCUUGAGAUGAGGUCUCCCACCCCGUGAGGGGGUAAGGCUCCCGGUAGAUCACCGGGUUGAUAGGCCGGAGGUGGAAGCACGGUAACGUGUGGAGCUGACCGGUACUAAUAGGCCGAGGACUUGACC
Molecule: ribosomal RNA, 1394 nt
Filed under: metagenome
Description: bacterial LSU rRNA
Rfam family: Bacterial large subunit ribosomal RNA
Source: RNAcentral